Long non-coding RNA from Cucumis melo (muskmelon), 777 nucleotides. RefSeq lists it as uncharacterized. The transcript has 3 exons. The record is from RefSeq and is a predicted model, not a curated record. NCBI's taxonomy places the organism in Eukaryota, Viridiplantae, Streptophyta, Magnoliopsida, Cucurbitales, Cucurbitaceae.
GAUGCAUCUAAAGUAAAUUCAAUUUUUCCAAUGCGCAUUUCCCGAUUUCUAUCAGAGGUAACAAUCACCACGUCUCUGUAAUCCGUCGCUUCUGGAGAUUCUAAGGUUUUUUACCUCAGAAUGAAGGGUAAUUACCCUAGAUACCUUGUCGAGUUCAAGAUCGCAGUUGAAUGUAAAAAAACUAUUGAAAGUACUCUUAAUGCUUACAAAGCCGCUCAGGUUCAUUCCUACUUUAUGAUUUCUGCUUGAGCGAUUUUCGUGAUGCGUUGAAUUGAUCGGACCUGUUUUUUCAUUUAGAAGAUAUUGCAAAUGCCAAGUUGCCUCAUACACAUUCUAUUCGACUUGGAUUAGCACUUGACUUCUCUGUAUUCUAUUUUUGAAAUUUUGAAUUCCCUAAUCGUGCCUGCAGUUAUUUGAAACAGGAUGAUGAGGCUGAUGAGAUUAAGCUCCACUGAAGCAUGAAGAUGAAAAGCAGUGAGAUUAGCGGCUGCCCAAAUAGGGUUAAAACUUCUCCUUUAUAUGUUUUUUAUAGGAGAAGAUGCUUGCUUUGCUUGUUGUUGCUUAUUUGGUACUCUCCCUGGGCUCUUUCUAAAAGGUUCUCAUGUUAUUUGUUGUCGGAUUGUGAUGACCCAAGCUACAAACCUUAUUUACUCCUUUUUUUUCUUCUUAAUCUUCUCAAUCUCGAAUCGAUACAUAUGAUAGAUAUAUCUAGAUACCAGCUUGUUAAUUUUUUAAAUGGCUAACAUAUGGGAAUGGCCAUAACUUUUUUUGUGUAAA